UACGUAGGGCGAAAGCGUGGUCCGGAAUUAUUGGGCGUAAAGAGCUCGUAGGCGGUUUGUCGCGUCUGCUGUGAAAACCUAAGGCUCAACCUUGGGCUUGCAGUGGGUACGGGCAGACUAGAGUGCGGUAGGGGUGACUGGAAUUCCUGGUGUAGCGGUGGAAUGCGCAGAUAUCAGGAGGAACACCGAUGGCGAAGGCAGGUCACUGGGCCGCAACUGACGCUGAGGAGCGAAAGCAUGGGGAGCGAACAGG
Molecule: ribosomal RNA, 253 nt
Filed under: uncultured bacterium
Lineage: Bacteria
Description: partial 16S ribosomal RNA
Rfam family: Bacterial small subunit ribosomal RNA
Source: RNAcentral